Molecule: ribosomal RNA, 445 nt
Filed under: uncultured bacterium
Lineage: Bacteria
Description: bacterial SSU rRNA
Rfam family: Bacterial small subunit ribosomal RNA
Source: RNAcentral
GUGCCAGCAGCCGCGGUAAUACGUAGGUGGCGAGCGUUGUCCGGAAUUAUUGGGCGUAAAGGGAGCGCAGGCGGUCUAAUAAGUCUGCUGUGAAAGCCCUCAGCUUAACUGAGGAAGUGCAGUGGAAACUACAAAACUUGAGUACUAGAGAGGGCAGUGGAACUCCAUGUGUAGCGGUGAAAUGCGUAGAUAUAUGGAAGAACAUCAGUGGCGAAGGCGGCUGUCUGGCUAGUAACUGACGCUGAGGCUCGAAAGCGUGGGGAGCGAACAGGAUUAGAUACCCUGGUAGUCCACGCCGUAAACGAUGACAAUUAGCUGUUGGGGUACUAGAUGCCUUAGUAGCGAAGCUAACGCGUGAAAUUGUCCGCCUGGGGAGUACGGUCGCAAGAUUAAAACUCAAAGGAAUUGACGGGGACCCGCACAAGCGGUGGAUGAUGUGGAUUAA